GAGUGAGUCAGACACGAGGCAGAUUUGUACUACGACCGAGUCUUGUUUCUGGCUUCAAGGAAGACGGACGCGUCGCCGCAACCCUAGAGGCGGCAUCCCCCGCGUGACGCCCUUUCAGGCACCGUCGUGACCGGAUUCCUUGUCU
RNAcentral lists this small RNA (145 nucleotides) under Xanthomonas oryzae pv. oryzae. RNAcentral's name for it is "partial sRNA-Xoo4 non-coding RNA". It matches the Rfam family "Xanthomonas sRNA asX4/Xoo4", at positions 1 to 139 of the family's 309-position model. Lineage: Bacteria; Pseudomonadati; Pseudomonadota; Gammaproteobacteria; Lysobacterales; Lysobacteraceae. The record is from RNAcentral.